GAUGAACGCUGGCGGCGUGCCUAAUACAUGCAAGUCGAGCGAACAGACGAGGAGCUUGCUCCUCUGACGUUAGCGGCGGACGGGUGAGUAACACGUGGAUAACCUACCUAUAAGACUGGGAUAACUUCGGGAAACCGGAGCUAAUACCGGAUAAUAUAUUGAACCGCAUGGUUCAAUAGUGAAAGACGGUUUUGCUGUCACUAAAAGUCGAUCCGGGCCGCAUUAGCUAGUUGGUAAGGUAACGGCUUAACCAAGCAACGAUGCGUAACCGACCUGAGAGGGUGAUCGGCCACACUGGAACUGAGACACGGUCCAGACUCCUACGGGAGGCAGCAGUAGGGAAUCUUCCGCAAUGGGCGAAAGCUUGACGGAGCAACGCCGCGUGAGUGAUGAAGGUCUUCGGAUCGUAAAACUCUGUUAUUAGGGAAGAACAAAUGUGUAAGUAACUAUGCACGUCUUGACGGUACCUAAUCAGAAAGCCACGGCUAACUACGUG
This 496-nucleotide ribosomal RNA is filed under the name uncultured bacterium. RNAcentral's name for it is "partial 16S ribosomal RNA". It matches the Rfam family "Bacterial small subunit ribosomal RNA", at positions 28 to 507 of the family's 1533-position model. The record is from RNAcentral.